Mesocricetus auratus (golden hamster) is the source of this 1198-nucleotide long non-coding RNA. RefSeq lists it as uncharacterized. The transcript has 4 exons. The record is from RefSeq and is a predicted model, not a curated record. NCBI's taxonomy places the organism in Eukaryota, Metazoa, Chordata, Mammalia, Rodentia, Cricetidae.
AUGUAUUGCAGUUUACUGUUCCAAGCUGGCCUUUCGUCAUCAGCUUCAGAUCCAUCUUCAGCAUCUGUAUCUUUCUCUUCUUGAACAUCCACGAUUAGUUCACUCUUCUUAAAAGCAUCUUCAGGAAAGUCGGCUAAAUCCAACUGAAGCCCCCAAAAGAAAGGAUAAUACAGACUGGCAUUGCAAAGUAGGACUACUAAAGACAGCUUACUACUACUACCACUACUACUACUACUACUACUACUACUACUACUACUACUACUACAGACUGGCACUGCAACAUGGGACUACUACAAAUGGCUACUACAGAAGAUCAAAAAUAAAAAAGCAAGGAACAUGAAAAAAUUCUGAUGCAUGAGAAAACUUCCAUGAUCAGCAUUCUACUCAGACAUCACAGUCAGUGAGACUCAGGGGACCACUCGGUGGAUUAAUCUCAAAAGGUAGUAAGUAACAUGGUCAUCAAGGCUAAAGCAUUUCUCUCUUUCCUGUAUCAAAUGAUAAUGUUCAUUUAAAAUUAUGCUGAAUUCCUAUCGUUAGGGUGGGUAAUUCUCAGAGAAAGUGAUAAUGACUGACAUUUUAGCAUAAGAAGUUCAUGAAGAAUUACUAAAUACCAGCAAAAGAUUAAUGUUGUUAAUAAACCAAGAAUAAGUCAAAAGAUUCUGGCCAUGGAAAACUGGAUAUCUUCCAUGCAUUGCACUAUGCCUAUGGAUUUUUAAAAUAAUGCCAUCUGCUCAAAAAUCGCUGCAAAGUCAAGUCUGCAUAUUAAUAUACUAUUAUAUCCAAUCAUGAAUAUGUAGUGGUAAAGAAUUAACAUAAUAUUCAACAAAAAGUUGGAUGAUAAAUGAAGAAGAAAAAAACUGGAGAUUGUAAUAACCACAGGGGGGAGGGAUGUCUCUUUUACUUUUGCCAUUCUAAGGGGAUGUUUUUAAACUGUCUGCUUAUAACACCAGAGUUUAAAGAAACAUUGAAGUAUCUCCUAUUCUGUACAUUUUAAAGACAGAAACAUCUUUUGUCAUGCACAUGUUAAGACUGGAUGUUCCAGUAAUUUAUAGAUGGCCUCCUGCCUAUCUCCAGAAAGCUAGAUCACCUAAUUUUAAAACUCCCUAUUUAUUUUUAAUUAGAUGACAAAACACCUGUCUUCCAGAAACAUGUAUAAAAAACCUUUUAAACUGCAUUAAAAGCCACAACUUGGGUUGUA